Molecule: ribosomal RNA, 894 nt
Filed under: Triticum aestivum (bread wheat)
Lineage: Eukaryota; Viridiplantae; Streptophyta; Magnoliopsida; Poales; Poaceae
Description: partial small subunit ribosomal RNA
Source: RNAcentral
AUUUCGUUUGAUUUGAUUUGUCCUCGUCCUCUGCACAUGAUGGUAACUUGGAUUUUGCUUGGGCAGGUGCCUUUCUCUCUUGAGGACCCGGAUUACAAGGGUCUUGAGCUAGAUCUGAUAGUGUUGUGCGAGAAGCAUGGGAAGCCAUCAGAGAGGCUUGUUGCGUUUGAAGGAACAAUGACUGGGAGAAGGUUCUUAGCAUGUGCAGAGCCGGAAGGUCAGAAUUGUGGGUUUGUUCAGUGGGUUGAUGAGCAGUGGCCCCCAACAAUGGAGAAUGCAUUGAUGAAGCUUUGGUCAAUGGUUGAAGAGAGCAAGUCUGCUAGGGUGAAUGAUAAUCUUCAAAGUGCUCUAACUAUUCAUCAGUUGACAGAAGAAAAGAACAAGCUGGAUCCAGCCUAUGACAAGUUAGUGAAAGAUGUGCAUCAACUUGUGGACUUUCAGCAGGAUAGGGUUGUGGAUUUCAGUUAUCUGCAGUCUGCUGUCACAUAUCAGCACCAAUGCAGAGCUGAAUUGGUGGCUGGUAUGAAUGCAGAAAUGGCAAAGAAAGAUGCAGCUGCCCAGAAGCUUCAACAAAAGUAUGAACUCCUGUGCAACCUGACAAGUGCUCAAGCAACUGUCAUCCAAAACUUGAAGUUGAAGAAUAUGAAAGAGAAGGAAUUGUUGAGUGAGGGUAGGAUGAAUUUGGAGUUGAAGAAUGCAGAGUUCACAAAGUUUGAGGAGAAGCUCACCCAAGAGAAGCUAGAGUUGAAGCUCCAGGUUGCUGAUCUGUUGAAGCUCAAGGAAAACCAUAAUGAAGAGAAGCAGAUGCAAGAGUUUAAGAUUACUGAGCUCAUCAAGGCAGAGGAGAAGCUGAAGGAGAAGAUCAAGGGGAUCCAGGCCAUCUUGCAGAACUGA